Molecule: unclassified non-coding RNA, 1277 nt
Filed under: Exaiptasia diaphana
Lineage: Eukaryota; Metazoa; Cnidaria; Anthozoa; Actiniaria; Aiptasiidae
Description: oxidoreductase NAD-binding domain-containing protein 1, transcript variant X1
Source: RNAcentral
UUCUAUUUGGACUUCUGCAAGCUUUGUGCACCAAAAGGACAGUAGCCUCGAGCUAAUGCUCUCCCCAGGCUCUCUGUGAUUGACGAGGAAUGCCUAGUUGAAAUGGUUUUCUGGUCUUUAUCAAUCGUUGACUUUUGAAGGCUAUUUUAAAGUAUAAUUCUGAAAAUAAUGCUUUUAAGAUGUCAUAGAAUCAACACAAUAAGAUUUUCAAGGCUUUGUGGACUAAGAUCCUUUUUGAAUAUAUGUAAAGUUUCUAUGUCUUCCCACAUCGAAAGAACUGAAUCAUCCUUCAGAAAUGAGGGCAUAUAUUUAGCUAAAGUAAUAAAAUUAAAUAACUUGUCAAGCACAGUGAAGAGUUUGGACCUUCAAGUGGCUGAUGGCUCCUUUGGCUUUAAACCAGGACAAUGGGUGGAUUUUAUUAUUCCUGGUUUAUCUGUUGUUGGAGGUUUUUCUAUUUGCUCAAGCCCAGAGGAACUUUUAAAAACUAGCAAUAUUCAACUUGCAGUGAAGUAUAGUGACCAUCCUCCUGCAAAGUGGGUGCAUACAAAGUGUAAAGUUGGUGAUAAAGUUCAACUGAGAGUUGGUGGGGAUUUCCAUCUUACCCUUCCACAAAGUAGUGUUGUCAAACCAAGUUUACUGUUCAUUGCUGGGGGUGUUGGGAUAAACCCUUUAUUGUCCAUGUUGAAGUUUUCUGCUGAACAUUCAUCAUUCUAUGGCAAUACAGCCCUUCUGUUUAGUGCAGGAUUGGAGGAUGAACUUCUUUUUAAGAGUGAAAUUAUUAGUAUUUGCAAAGAACACCGUCAUUUCAAGUGCAGUUUCUUUGUCAGUAAAGAGCGCAAAGAUGUGUUUGACCAGUGGACUAAAGGUGGACGAAUAACCAAAGAAACAAUUAAAACUACUAUUGCAAGUUUGGAUGUCAACAAUCUUCAGGUGUACAUUUGUGGACCACAGUCAAUGAUUUCUUUUGUUUCUGACAGCAUUCUUGCUCUUGGAAUUAGCAAUAACAGAAUUCACUUUGAGAAAUGGUGGUAAUCCAAGUUGACUGCAAUGUACUUUUAGUUAUGAAAAAAAAACAUUCUCAGCAAAAUGACAUUUAACAAAAAUAUUGGAUUGGGGUUGUAAGAGACAUUUUUUGUUUUAAUAUUGAAAUUAUUUAUUGACAAUUGUUGAUCUGCAAUUAACCAAUUGCACAAACUUCUUUACUGGUGAGUAGCAGUGGUAAUACAUUUUAUUUAUAAUUUUGUCAAUUUUUUUAUAAUUAUCAAUUUUUUUCUGAA